Molecule: ribosomal RNA, 454 nt
Filed under: uncultured bacterium
Lineage: Bacteria
Description: bacterial SSU rRNA
Rfam family: Bacterial small subunit ribosomal RNA
Source: RNAcentral
UACGGAAGGCAGCAGUGGGGAACAUUGCACAAUGGGCGAAAGCCUGAUGCAGCUAUGCCGCGUGUAUGAAGAAGGCCUUAGGGUUGUAAAGUACUUUCAUCGGGGAGGAAAAACAAAACUAAUAAUUUUAUUUCUUGACGUUACCCGAAAAAGAAGCACCGGCUAACUCCGUGCCAGCAGCCGCGGUAAUACGGAGGGUGCUAGCGUUAAUCAGAAUUACUGGGCGUAAAGAGCACGUAGGUGGUUUUUUUAAGUCAGAUGUGAAUCCCUGGGCUUAACCUGGAACUGCAUUUUGAAACUGAAAUACUAGAGUAUCGUAGGGGGAGGUAGAAUUCUAGGUGUAGCGGUGAAAUGCGUAGAUAUCUGGAGGAAUACCUGUGGCGAAAGCGGCCUCCUAAACGAAUACUGACACUGAGGUGCGAAAGCGUGGGGAGCAAACGAGGGAUUAGAUACC